This 414-nucleotide ribosomal RNA is filed under the name uncultured bacterium. Its description in RNAcentral is "partial 16S ribosomal RNA". It matches the Rfam family "Bacterial small subunit ribosomal RNA", at positions 355 to 762 of the family's 1533-position model. The record is from RNAcentral.
UGGGGAAUUUUGGACAAUGGGGCAACCGUGAUCCAGCCAUCCCGCGUGUGCGAUGAAGGCCUUCGGGUUGUAAAGCACUUUUUGGCAGGGAAGAAACAGCCUGGGAUAAUACCCCGGGCGACUGACGGUACCUGCAGAAUAAGCACCGGCUAACUACGUGCCAGCAGCCGCGGUAAUACGUAGGGUGCAAGCGUUAAUCGGAAUUACUGGGCGUAAAGCGUGCGCAGGCGGUUUCGGAAAGAAAGGUGUGAAUCCCAGGGCUUAACCUUGGAACUGCACUUUUAACUACCGAGCUAGAGUACGUCAGAGGGGGGUAGAAUUCCACGUGUAGCAGUGAAAUGCGUAGAGAUGUGGAGGAAUACCGAUGGCGAAGGCAGCCCCUGGGAUGAUACUGACGCUCAUGCACGAAAGCGU